GAUGAACGCUGGCGGCGUGCUUAACACAUGCAAGUCGAACGGAAAGGCCCAAGCUUGCUUGGGUACUCGAGUGGCGAACGGGUGAGUAACACGUGGGUGAUCUGCCCUGCACUUCGGGAUAAGCCUGGGAAACUGGGUCUAAUACCGGAUAGGACCACUUCUUGGAUGUUGUGGUGGAAAGUUUUUUCGGUGUGGGAUGAGCUCGCGGCCUAUCAGCUUGUUGGUGGGGUAAUGGCCUACCAAGGCGUCGACGGGUAGCCGGCCUGAGAGGGUGUACGGCCACAUUGGGACUGAGAUACGGCCCAGACUCCGACGGGAGGCAGCAGUGGGGAAUAUUGCACAAUGGGCGCAAGCCUGAUGCAGCGACGCCGCGUGGGGGAUGACGGCCUUCGGGUUGGAAACUCCUUUCGCUAGGGACGAAGCGUUUUGUGACGGUACCUGGAGAAGAAGCUCCGGCUAACUACGUG
This 467-nucleotide ribosomal RNA is filed under the name uncultured bacterium. Its description in RNAcentral is "partial 16S ribosomal RNA". It matches the Rfam family "Bacterial small subunit ribosomal RNA", at positions 28 to 507 of the family's 1533-position model. The record is from RNAcentral.